GCAAAAACACAAAACCAUGAUGCCGAAAUUUAUAUAAUAGAUCAUAAUAUUUACCCACUCAAAAAGGAGCACACUCUCCCCCAACAAAAAAGUGGUACAUAUAUACAUCUCAGGUGAGCUAGAAAAUUCUUCUGAUAUGGAACUCAAUAGUAUUAACUAUAUAUAUAUAGUGAGUAAAUUUUACCUCCAUAAUCAAAAAAGCUCGGGCUCUUCAAGUAGCAUUUCUUUAUGUGAACUUCACAUUUGUUUCUUUGGCACCAGAGCUGAUUAGUCAAGAGGAAAAACUCUUUACUAAAAUCUGUAAUAAUUGAUAAUGGAAAAAAUUAAGCUCAGAACCAUAGAUAAUCAACAAAAAUAGGGAUAAUUCAGGUCAAAUUAGACACACAAUUAAUAUGAUUGGCAAAAACAGUGAAAAACAAACAGGGAAGAAAAACACACCAAUAGAUCAGAUCGAGAGACACUUGUGGUGAAUACUAUAAUC
RNAcentral lists this long non-coding RNA (481 nucleotides) under Daucus carota (carrot). Its description in RNAcentral is "long non-coding RNA (DCAR_LNC007594)". The record is from RNAcentral. Lineage: Eukaryota; Viridiplantae; Streptophyta; Magnoliopsida; Apiales; Apiaceae.